UCUCUCUCUCUCUCUCUCUCUCUCUCUCUCUCUGUGUGUGUGUGUGUGUGUGUGAGAGAGAGAGAGAGAGAGAGAGAGAGA
Non-coding RNA from Podarcis lilfordi (Lilford's wall lizard), 81 nucleotides. NCBI's taxonomy places the organism in Eukaryota, Metazoa, Chordata, Lepidosauria, Squamata, Lacertidae. The record is from the annotation of a GenBank genome assembly.